GCCAGGUGCGGUGGCACGUGCCUGUAGUCCCAGUUACUCAGGAGGCUGAGGUGGGAGGAUCGCUUGAGCCCGGGAGUUCUGGGCUGUAGUGCGCUAUUCCGAUCAGGUGUCUGCACUAAAUUUGGGAUCAAUAUGGUGACCUCCCGGAAGCGGGGGACCACCAGGUUGCCUAAGGAGGGGUGAACCGGCCCAGUUCAGAAAACGGAGCAGGUCAAAACUCCCGUGCUGAUCAGUAGUGGGAUCGCGCCUGUCAAUAGUCACUGCACUCCAACCUGGGCAACAUAGCGAGACCCCAUCUCU
RNAcentral lists this signal recognition particle RNA (300 nucleotides) under Aotus nancymaae (Ma's night monkey). RNAcentral describes it as "Metazoan signal recognition particle RNA (ENSANAG00000006224.1)". It matches the Rfam family "Metazoan signal recognition particle RNA". Rfam says of the family: The signal recognition particle (SRP) is a universally conserved ribonucleoprotein. It is involved in the co-translational targeting of proteins to membranes. Lineage: Eukaryota; Metazoa; Chordata; Mammalia; Primates; Aotidae. The record is from RNAcentral.